GGCGACGAUCAGUAGCCGACCUGAGAGGGUGAUCGGCCACACUGGGACUGAGACACGGCCCAGACUCCUACGGGAGGCAGCAGUCGGGAAUAUUGGUCAAUGGGGGAAACCCUGAACCAGCAAUGCCGCGUGAGUGAUGAAGGUUUUCGGAUCGUAAAGCUCUGUCUUUGGGGACGAAUAAAUGACGGUACCCGAGGAGGAAGCCCCGGCUAACUACGUGCCAGCAGCCGCGGUAAUACGUAGGGGGCGAGCGUUGUCCGGAAUUACUGGGCGUAAAGGGCGAGUAGGCGGUUUAAUAAGUCAGAUGUGAAAUGCCAGGGCUCAACCCUGGAACUGCAUUUGAAACUAUUAGACUUGAGUGCAGGAGAGGAAAGUGGAAUUCCCAGUGUAGCGGUGAAAUGCGUAGAUAUUGGGAGGAACACCAGUGGCGAAGGCGACUUUCUGGACUGUAACUGACGCUGAGGCGCGAAAGCGUGGGGAGCAAACAGGAUUAGAUACCCU
Molecule: ribosomal RNA, 501 nt
Filed under: uncultured bacterium
Lineage: Bacteria
Description: bacterial SSU rRNA
Rfam family: Bacterial small subunit ribosomal RNA
Source: RNAcentral